Molecule: ribosomal RNA, 478 nt
Filed under: uncultured bacterium
Lineage: Bacteria
Description: bacterial SSU rRNA
Rfam family: Bacterial small subunit ribosomal RNA
Source: RNAcentral
UAUCCCCCCCCUGUGUGCCCUUGCCCUCCCCCACCGACCUGCAUAACGCGAAGAACCUUACCUGGCCUUGACAUCCACGGAAGCCCUGAGAGAUCGGGGUGUGCCUUCGGGAACCGUGUGACAGGUGCUGCAUGGCUGUCGUCAGCUCGUGUCGUGAGAUGUUGGGUUAAGUCCCGCAACGAGCGCAACCCUCAUCGUAUGUUGCCAUCAGGUAAUGCUGGGCACUCGUGCGAGACCGCCGGUGAUAAGCCGGAGGAAGGUGGGGACGACGUCAAGUCAUCAUGGCCCUUACGAGUAGGGCUACAAACGUGCUACAAUGGUGGUGACAGUGAGCAGCCACUCCGCAAGGAGGAGCUAAUCUCUAAAAGCCAUCUCAGUUCAGAUUGUCCUCUGCAACUCGAGGGCAUGAAGUUGGAAUCGCUAGUAAUCGUGGAUCAGCAUGCCACGGUGAAUACGUUCCCGGGUCUUGUACACACCG